This 253-nucleotide ribosomal RNA is filed under the name uncultured bacterium. RNAcentral describes it as "partial 16S ribosomal RNA". It matches the Rfam family "Bacterial small subunit ribosomal RNA", at positions 524 to 776 of the family's 1533-position model. The record is from RNAcentral.
UACGGGGGGUGCAAGCGUUGUCCGGAUUUACUGGGCGUAAAGGGCGCGUAGGCGGUUGUAUCAGUCGGACUUAUAAGUGCGGGGCUCAACCCCGUGAUGGGUUCGGGACGGUAUGACUGGGGCGCGGUCGAGGGAGACGGAAUGCCGGGUGUAGUGGUGAAAUGCGUAGAGAUCCGGCGGAACACCGGUGGUGAAGGCGGUCUCCUAGGCCGAGGGCCGACGCUGAGGCGCGAGAGCGUGGGGAGCGAACCGG